AUGUGUUUGAAAGUUUCUGCUAUUGAUAGGUUUAGUAUAUAUUUGCACAUAAUAUUUUGGUGGCCGGGCACCUUAUCCAACAAAAAAAAAAAAAAAACCUUAUCGAUAAGCUUAUAGCUUUUUAAAGUAAUUUGGAUCUUUUAUUUCUAGGGUUUAUAAGAAAGAGUUGUUUGUGUUGAAGGUGAUAAACUGGAUCUUUAUAUGUACAUUAGGAGCACUAACUUUACAAAUUAUUCAUGAUUGACCUGGCUUCAUUUGGAAAAGAGUAAAAUAUGCGCAGCUGUGUAUGUGCUGUAUAAUCAUAAGUUUGUUCCAUCUCUAAAAAAAAAUUAUAAGUUUUGUUAUGCUUCUGAAAUUUAGACUUAUUUUUGCUUAGCUAAUGAGUAGCUUGAUAGUAAAAGAGUAAGUGCACCAGAGCAGGAAACUCUCUCUCUUUCUUUCUUAGGGGAGAUCGGUUUUAUGGCCAAUCACAAAUAUUCUCUUAGUUAUAUUUCCCUUUGCAUAGGAGAUCGCUAAAUAAAACACAAGAGAUAUUCAAAUUAUAAUUUGUCAUAUCAUUUGCUCCUCUAUUAGUCACAACUCGCAACUAUUGCAGCCUUGUAGGUGCCAAUUUGCUUUGGUCAGUUAAAUAAAUAAGAGCAUGAGUUGGCAUAAUGGAAAAAUAGUAUGGCAGCUCUUAUUUGCACUUUAUCCGGAAAAUGAUACAAUUAGCAGUCCACUGGUAGGCUGAUCUACGCUUACAACAAUAUUGAUUGGUUAUGAUACAGAAUGUUAUUGAUUCUGACUUAAGUCGACUUUUAGCGAAUAUCUCUACCUCUGUUGAUGGAUGAAGUGUAGCGGCCAAGAUAGAUGGUGAUCUCUUACUUUAAGUAUGAGUGUGUGCAUGUUAUUAAUCUCAUUUAGUACAAGUAAAAUCAAAGUGGGUAAGAUAGAGCUCGUCAACCAUGCAACUAUGAAGUAUAUGUACAAAUAUAAGAGUGAAUAGUGGAUAUGUGUUGUAUCAUCUAACACUGAUGUGUUCCCUUUUAAAUAGAUUUGUUUUUGGUGUAUUUGGAAAGAUCCAUGUUAAGGCCCUACUCAUCCGUGAGGGUUGUGCCAAUGCUCUAAACUGCAGAUGAAAAAUGUUCGUUAGGAAGAUUGCACAAGUCUUUGUAAAAGCAAGUUAUAUAUGCUAUUUAUAUGGAUGCCAUACACUUUAUGGAGACAAUUAGAAACCAAAGAAUCAAGACAUGAAGGAAAAGAUAACAAAAGAGCUAGAAAAAAACAACAACAACAACGACGACAUACCCAGUGUAAUCCCACAAGUGGGGUCUGGGGAAGGUAAUGUGUACAUAGCGUUACCCCUACCUUGAGAAGGUAGACGUUUCCAAUAGACCCUCGGCUCAAGUAAAGCAUAUAAAAAAUAUAGGAUGUAAAGCAAAUACAGUGAAGAAGCUAUACUGAAAAUAAUAGAGAGAGAAACGAUGGUAGUAGCAACAACAAAUAAUGUGAAAAUCGAAGCCGCCAAGGAGACAACGGGUAAUACUAAAAUUGUAGAAUAAAAUAGUAGGAGAAUAAUUUAUAACAAUAUUGAUAGUGUGGAGAGAGGCCCUGGAGGCAAAAGGUUUCAAGUUAAGCAGGGCGAAGACAGAGUAAGAGUACCUGGAACAGCUUCAAGUAUCUUGGGUCCAUAAUCCAAGGAGAUAGGGAGAUUGAUGCUGGUGUCGUACACCGUAUUGGGGCGAGGUGGGCGAAAUGGAGGCUCGACUUUGGGGUACUAUGCGAUAAGAAAGAGUUGCCAAGGCUUAAAGGUAAGUUCUACAGAGUGGUGAUUGGACCAGCACUUUUGUAUGGGGCAGAGUGUUGGCCAGUCAGGAAUGCCCACGUUCAGAAUAUGAAUGUGGCGCAAAUAAGGAUGCUUAGAUGGAUGUAUAGGCAUACUAUGAUUAAGAAUGAAGUUAUACGGGGUAAGAUGGGAGUGGCCUAUGUGGCUGACAAGAUGAGGGAAACGAGGCUAAGAUGGUUCGGACAUGUGAAGAGGAGGUGCGAGGGAUGCGCCAAUGAGGAGGUGUGAGAGGUUGGCCAUAGCAGGAGUUGGGAGAGGUAGAGGUAGACCGAAGAAGAAGUGGAGGGGAGGUGAUUAGACAGGACAUGGCAGAGCUGCAGUUGACUGAGGACAUGACCUUGGAUAGGAAGGUGUGGAGGUCGAGGAUUAGGGUAGAUGGUUAGUAGGUAAUUGAGUGUUAUUGUACUUUUAGUCAUAUGAUUUUGGGUAGUCGCGUAGUUUCUUUUUCGCUAAUGUGUAUUGAUAUAUGUUACUACAUUUGUUUUUUACAUUUGCUAUUUUGUUGUCCCUUUUUCUUUCCUACGUUUUUGCAUCAGUUACAUUUCUUUUGAGCCGAGGGUCUAUCGAAAACAGCCUCUCUAUCCCAUAAAGGUGGAGGUAAGGUCUGCGUAUAUCUUAUCCUCCCCAGACCCCACUUGUGGGAUUACACUGGGUAUGAUGUUGUUAUAAUACUGUAAGGAAAUUAGAGAAGGCUUGACUACCUACUAACCUUCUACUAUAAUUGUCGACCGCCCUUCCAAUCUAGGGUCAUAUCCUCUGUAAGCUGCAAGUGUGUCAUGUCUUGUCUAAUUACCUCUCCAAUACUUGUUCGGCUUAUCUCUACCUCUCCCCAUACCGACCAUAGACAACAUCUCACACCUCUUCACGGGGUCAUCUAUGCGCCGCCUCUUCACAUGCCCGAACCAUCUCAGUCUCGCCUUUCGCAUCUUGUCCACCACGGAGGCCACUCCCACCUUGCGCCUGUAUAUCUUCAUUCCUAAUCUUGUCUCUCCGAGUAUGCCCAUACAUCCAUCUAAGCAUUCUCAUUUCCGCUACUCCCAUCUUUUGGACGAAUGAAUUCUUGACUGGCCAACACUCUGCCCCGUACAACACAGUUGGUCUAACAUCCACUCUAUAAAACUUACCUUUAAGUCUCGGUGGCACAUUCUUAUCACAUAGGACACUGGAUGCGUGCCUCCAUUUCAUCAACCCCGCUCCAAUACUUUGGUGACUUGCUGCUAUAGAUUCCCGAAAGUUCUUUAUAACAUAGGUUUUAAUAGUAGUAGAGUAUGUUUGAAUGUUACUUGUAGCAAUUUCCAUCUGAACCCAUCCCCAGGCCAAGGCAAAAAGUUAUAAUGUUUCAUUAAUUUUAAAUUUAAUACGUAAAAUACAUCUUAUUGCCUAUAAAUUUAUUCAUUUUGGUAUUUUUUUUUAGUCUCUUAUACGAAAUAAAAAACCUACUCUAAUUAUUCGGUACGGUUACAGAUUUAUAUCAAAACCUAUGGUUUUAAACUAAUAACGAGGUUUGGUUCGGUCGGUUAUCAGAGAAGAAUUGAUGGCCCUUUCUUUUAUAAUAAAAGGAUCUGGUUGUGUGGUCGAAAUCAUUACUUUUCCAAUGAGAUGUUAUCGUGUAUUUUAGCCGAAUGUCAGGUUCCUAUACAAUGGUUCUUCAAUGAUAGGCCUCAAAGUUUGAUGAUGAUUUGACUAUAUCCAUUUCAGGUUCCUAGUAUGA
Molecule: long non-coding RNA, 3536 nt
Organism: Lycium ferocissimum
Lineage: Eukaryota; Viridiplantae; Streptophyta; Magnoliopsida; Solanales; Solanaceae
Exons: 3
Source: RefSeq, a predicted model, not a curated record